UUUUUUUUUUUUUUUCUGAAAGGAAUCAGCAAACACAAGAGUUUAAAGACCAGAAAGAGGCCCCUUUCCUCCAAAGCAUUACAAACCGAUACUGUUCCUGACUGAUUUUUCAUAAGAAAUGAUUAGCCUUUCAUUUUUGGGUAGAAAGGAUUCUCCCUAUUUAAAAAAAAAAAAUCCAUGUGUAUAUUCACUCAUAGUUGCAUGUGCCAGCCUAACCUGUUGAAUAAAAAAAAAAAAAAAAAAAAAAAAAAAAAAAAAAAAACAUGGUCACUGAGAAAGCUGAGGAUGUAUGGGGCAAAGAUCAAGAAAUCAGAAAGCUUUGAGGUUCAUGAUUGUUUUUUAUUUCCAUUGACAUUCAUUCUCUUUAAAAACACAUUUGCACUGACACAGAGACACACAUCAUACUGAGACUCUCAAUGCCAGCGAUGCACAGCACACACGAGAUGUGGAAGCAUACUGUUCUGCUCAUACCUUGCCAUGUCUACCUUAUUCCUCCUCUCGUCCUUCACUUCUGCUGCUGCAGCCUGAUCUUCUGCAUUUCCCUUUUCUUCAUCCAUGCCACCUCUGGGUACAGCUGGAAUAACUGCUCUUGAGGGUGCUGUGAGUGAGUAAGCUCAUCUCUUCCUUCUCUUGAAGACCAUAGGGAUAACCAAAACUGAUCCAUCCCUUCAUUCCCACCCAUGAGGCACCUCGGAGUUUAAAGCAUUCGGGUUGGGCUGGACAGCAAGUGAAGUUGUCUCUUUUUUUUCAAGCAGAGAGUGGGAGGAAAGUUUUAAAAGAAGAGUUGCACACUUCAGAAGGUCAGCACGUAGCGUGUCACACUUAAGAAGAAGAUAAUAAAAGAAGCUGCUCCUUUAACUAACCCUCAGAUCUUACAGUUCUCUAAGCUUUCAUGGUCUUAGACACUUUGAUUCAAAUCCCAGUUCAAACCUAGGCUGGCUCCGUCUUUCCUGAGCAUAAAAGCCUAGGCAAAUUAUAGCUAUUCUGUGUGCCAUAUGACACGCAGAGACCCUUAACUUAGAUCAUUGUGACUGCCUCCCUCUGCAGCUUGUGGAGACACCAGGGCACUGGAUACAGAAUUGUUAGGAAAUGGAACAAACCAAACAGUUGUCUCUCGGUGAGAACAAGAGUACUCACACACCCACAGCCCCCUUCCAAGUUCCCUCCUGCAAUGCAUGAACUGGACAAGCUUGAGAAACGGGGCUCUGGGGUAAACCUGACCUGAGGCAGGAAGGUUUCAAUGACAGCAAAUCACAUACCAUCAUAAGAUACGAUUUUAAAUUAUUGCAUUUGUCAAUAUGCUUUUCUGCUUUUAUCAUUUUUCAUGUUCCUUGGGAAAUUUUCACAUCCUUAGGACAUUCACAAAGUGAAGAAAUGUCUCAGGCUCUACAAGAUUUUGGAUGUAAAGAUUUUAACUCAAAUUCUGUAUAACGUGUGGUUCUGAAAGUUAUAGGGAGAUAGGUAGAAGACCUAAACCAUGCCUCUGGAGUCCUCUGGAAAGUAAUGCCUGAAAUUAAAACUGCAGAGAAUAGAAUCAAAGGAAGAUUAAAUAAU
RNAcentral lists this long non-coding RNA (1554 nucleotides) under Mus musculus (house mouse). RNAcentral describes it as "long non-coding RNA chr15:30906307-30907861". The record is from RNAcentral. Lineage: Eukaryota; Metazoa; Chordata; Mammalia; Rodentia; Muridae.